CGGAGAAUAGUUUAAAAGGUAAAAAUAUUAGUUUUGGAUUCUAAAGAUAAUUUUGUUUUCUCUGA
This 65-nucleotide transfer RNA is filed under the name Cambaroides wladiwostokiensis. RNAcentral describes it as "tRNA-Pro". It matches the Rfam family "tRNA". From Rfam's summary of the family: Transfer RNA (tRNA) molecules are approximately 80 nucleotides in length. Their secondary structure includes four short double-helical elements and three loops (D, anti-codon, and T loops). Further hydrogen bonds mediate the characteristic L-shaped molecular structure. tRNAs have two regions of fundamental functional importance: the anti-codon, which is responsible for specific mRNA codon recognition, and the 3' end, to which the tRNAs corresponding amino acid is attached (by aminoacyl-tRNA synthetases). tRNAs cope with the degeneracy of the genetic code in two manners: having more than one tRNA (with a specific anti-codon) for a particular amino acid; and 'wobble' base-pairing, i.e. permitting non-standard base-pairing at the 3rd anti-codon position. The record is from RNAcentral. Lineage: Eukaryota; Metazoa; Arthropoda; Malacostraca; Decapoda; Cambaridae.